AUUGAACGCUGGCGGUAUGCUUAACACAUGCAAGUCGAACGGUAACAGGCCUUCGGGCGCUGACGAGUGGCGGACGGGUGAGUAACGCGUAGGAAUCUGCCUCAUAGUGGGGACAACGUGGGGAAACUCACGCUAAUACCGCAUACGCCCUACGGGGAAAGCGGGGGAUCUUCGGACCUCGCGCUAUGAGAUGAGCCUGCGUUAGAUUAGCUAGUUGGUAGGGUAAAGGCCUACCAAGGCGACGAUCUAUAGCUGGUCUGAGAGGACGAUCAGCCACACUGGGACUGAGACACGGCCCAGACUCCUACGGGAGGCAGCAGUGGGGAAUAUUGGACAAUGGGACGCAAGCCUGAUCCAGCAAUACCGCGUGUGUGAAGAAGG
This 381-nucleotide ribosomal RNA is filed under the name uncultured bacterium. RNAcentral's name for it is "bacterial SSU rRNA". It matches the Rfam family "Bacterial small subunit ribosomal RNA", at positions 30 to 414 of the family's 1533-position model. The record is from RNAcentral.